UGGCGGCGUGCCUAACACAUGCAAGUCGUGCGAGAAAGUCACCUUCGGGUGGCGAGUAGAGCGGCGCACGGGUGAGUAACACGUGGGUAAUUUACCUUGGAGUCUGGGAUAACCCGGGGAAACCCGGGCUAAUACCGGAUACGGCCUGAGGGUCUUCGGAUCUUCAGGAGAAAGCGGGCCUCUGCAUGCAAGCUCGUGCUCUUUGAUGAGCCCGCGUCCCAUUAGCUUGUUGGUGAGGUAACGGCUCACCAAGGCGAUGAUGGGUAGCUGAUCUGAGAGGAUGAUCAGCCACACUGGAACUGAGACACGGUCCAGACUCCUACGGGAGGCAGCAGUGGGGAAUUUUGGUCAAUGGGCGAAAGCCUGAACCAGCAACGCCGCGUGCAGGAUGAAGGCCCUCGGGUCGUAAACUGCUGUCGGGAGGGAAGAACAGCUCGGUAAUCAAUACCUGCCGAGCCUGACGGUACCUCCGAAGGAAGCACCGGCUAACUCCGUG
RNAcentral lists this ribosomal RNA (496 nucleotides) under uncultured bacterium. Its description in RNAcentral is "bacterial SSU rRNA". It matches the Rfam family "Bacterial small subunit ribosomal RNA", at positions 37 to 507 of the family's 1533-position model. The record is from RNAcentral.